Long non-coding RNA from Acipenser ruthenus (sterlet), 398 nucleotides. RefSeq lists it as uncharacterized. NCBI's taxonomy places the organism in Eukaryota, Metazoa, Chordata, Actinopteri, Acipenseriformes, Acipenseridae. The transcript has 3 exons. The record is from RefSeq and is a predicted model, not a curated record.
GACAAUUCGUCCAUUGGAGGAAAACCCAGGUCAAAGAGCAACAGAUUACCUCCCAAGAACUGAAGCGUAUCUUUGAGUUGGCUUCUAUUAAUUCACAAAAUAGCAUCUCCAGAGCGGCUAAUAACUUGGCAAAGAUGUGCAACAGUGGCAUAAAAAUUGAUGUAUCUGAAUGCAUGAAACCUUCCAGUAAUCCUGCGUGAAAGAUGUGAGGAAGCGCCUCUUUGGACUACUACUGUAUUAGUUGAGGACAACUCUAGUUAAUCAAUAAAUACACAAAUGUUACUUUUGUUUCUGUAAAUAUUCAUGAAUCAUUCUGUUUGGAUACCAUCUCUGAAAAUCUAGAGGUCAGUUCUCUUUGAUAUCCAUGCAGUAAACGUUGAAAGAUGUAACAAAAAAAA